GCAGUAACCAUCAAUGAAUUUCGUAUAACCCUGCGGAUAGGGCGCGGGGGUCUCUACCAGGUUCCGCAAAAUCCUGAUUACGAAAACAGACCGGCCGCAU
Molecule: non-coding RNA, 100 nt
Filed under: Ferrimonas marina
Lineage: Bacteria; Pseudomonadati; Pseudomonadota; Gammaproteobacteria; Alteromonadales; Ferrimonadaceae
Description: Guanine sequence
Rfam family: Purine riboswitch aptamer
About the family: Riboswitches are metabolite binding domains within certain messenger RNAs that serve as precision sensors for their corresponding targets.
Source: Rfam by way of RNAcentral